RNAcentral lists this ribosomal RNA (468 nucleotides) under uncultured bacterium. RNAcentral describes it as "partial 16S ribosomal RNA". It matches the Rfam family "Bacterial small subunit ribosomal RNA", at positions 28 to 507 of the family's 1533-position model. The record is from RNAcentral.
GACGAACGCUGGCGGCGUGCUUAACACAUGCAAGUCGAACGGAAAGGCCCUGCUUUUGUGGGGUGCUCGAGUGGCGAACGGGUGAGUAACACGUGAGUAACCUGCCCUUGACUUUGGGAUAACUUCAGGAAACUGGGGCUAAUACCGGAUAGGAGCUCCUGCUGCAUGGUGGGGGUUGGAAAGUUUCGGCGGUUGGGGAUGGACUCGCGGCUUAUCAGCUUGUUGGUGGGGUAGUGGCUUACCAAGGCUUUGACGGGUAGCCGGCCUGAGAGGGUGACCGGCCACAUUGGGACUGAGAUACGGCCCAGACUACUACGGGAGGCAGCAGUGGGGAAUAUUGCACGAUAGGCGGAAGCCUGAUGCAGCAACACCGCGUGCGGGAUGACGGCCUUCGGGUUGUAAACCGCUUUCACCUGUGACGAAGCGUGAGUGACGGUAAUGGGUAAAGAAGCACCGGCUAACUACGUG